CUACGUGCCAGCAGCCGCGGUAAUACGGAAGGUCCGGGCGUUAUCCGGAUUUAUUGGGUUUAAAGGGAGCGUAGGCCGGGGAUUAAGUGUGUUGUGAAAUGUAGGCGCCCAACGUCUGACUUGCAGCGCAUACUGGUUCCCUUGAGUACGCGCAACGCCGGCGGAAUUCGUCGUGUAGCGGUGAAAUGCUUAGAUAUGACGAAGAACCCCGAUUGCGAAGGCAGCCGGCGGGAGCGCAACUGACGCUGAAGCUCGAAGGUGCGGGUAUCGAACAGGAUUAGAUACCCUGGUAGUCCGCACGGUAAACGAUGGAUGCCCGCUGUUAGCGCCUGGCGUUAGCGGCUAAGCGAAAGCAUUAAGCAUCCCACCUGGGGAGUACGGCCGCAAGGCUAAAACUCAAAGGAAUUGACGGGGGCCCGCACAAGCGGCGGAGCAUGCGGAUUAAUUCGAUGCAACGCGAAGAACCUUACCAAGGCUUGACAUGC
RNAcentral lists this ribosomal RNA (485 nucleotides) under uncultured bacterium. Its description in RNAcentral is "bacterial SSU rRNA". It matches the Rfam family "Bacterial small subunit ribosomal RNA", at positions 501 to 989 of the family's 1533-position model. The record is from RNAcentral.